GCUAGCUCUGUUAGCAUGCCGGGUUGUUGCUGUUUGUGCUAGCUGUGUUAGCAUGCCGGGUUGUUGCUGUUUGUGCUAGCUCUGUUAGCAUGCCAGGUUGUUGCUGUUUGUGCUAGCUCUGUUAGCAUCCAGGAUUCAGCAGCUGUUGGGAUACAGGAAACGCUGACGCAUCCGUCAUGGUAGAAAAAGACAUGGUUUCCCUUUUUCAGAUCAGAUCCUGCUUCCACAGACGAAGCUUCUUAUCGGCCCGGUCUGAUGCAGCGUGACCACUGCAUCAUCUUAAACAGGAAACAAAGGCAGCAGCUUCACGCUUCAGCAGUGAGAUGCAGCAGACAUCAUGGCAGCCUGAAGCCAGCUCUCAUCCUCCUGAAAAUAGAUUCCCAGAGACAAGAGGCAGAGGGCUGUGAUGUCCUGAUAACCAUGUCACAUGGCGAGAAGCCUCCGGGGGUCAUUAUGUUUUAAUUCUUGUUUCAGGAGCUUCUGCAGAUGGAAAACAGCAAAUCUGAUCUGGACUGAAC
Long non-coding RNA from Melanotaenia boesemani (Boeseman's rainbowfish), 518 nucleotides. RefSeq lists it as uncharacterized. The transcript has 3 exons. Lineage: Eukaryota; Metazoa; Chordata; Actinopteri; Atheriniformes; Melanotaeniidae. The record is from RefSeq and is a predicted model, not a curated record.